This 470-nucleotide ribosomal RNA is filed under the name uncultured bacterium. RNAcentral describes it as "partial 16S ribosomal RNA". It matches the Rfam family "Bacterial small subunit ribosomal RNA", at positions 28 to 507 of the family's 1533-position model. The record is from RNAcentral.
GACGAACGCUGGCGGCGUGCUUAACACAUGCAAGUCGAACGGUGAACGAGGGAGCUUGCUCCCUCCGGAUCAGUGGCGAACGGGUGAGUAACACGUGAGCAAUCUGCCCCGAACUCUGGGAUAAGCGUUGGAAACGACGUCUAAUACCGGAUACGCCGCGGGAGGGCAUUCUCUCCGCGUGGAAAGAACUUCGGUUCGGGAUGAGCUCGCGGCCUAUCAGCUUGUUGGUGAGGGAACGGCUCACCAAGGCGACGACGGGUAGCCGGCCUGAGAGGGUGACCGGCCACACUGGGACUGAGACACGGCCCAGACUCCUACGGGAGGCAGCAGUGGGGAAUAUUGCACAAUGGGCGCAAGCCUGAUGCAGCAACGCCGCGUGAGGGACGACGGCCUUCGGGUUGUAAACCUCUUUUAGCAGGGAAGAAGCGAAAGUGACGGUACCUGCAGAAAAAGCACCGGCUAACUACGUG